RNAcentral lists this long non-coding RNA (343 nucleotides) under Elaeis guineensis (African oil palm). RNAcentral's name for it is "long non-coding RNA (EGUI_LNC070342)". Lineage: Eukaryota; Viridiplantae; Streptophyta; Magnoliopsida; Arecales; Arecaceae. The record is from RNAcentral.
AUCAAGCAUAAUGAAGUACUGGUAGAUUGUGAAGCACAAAAAUAUGAUUUGGAAGGUAUUUGAAUAGUUUUAAGAUUGAUAUAUAGCAAAAAAUCAAUAAAACAGUAAUAUAAACAGAGAAAAUAUAGUACUAAAACAAUAAAUGGUACUAAAAAAAAGAAAUGGGUCAGCUUGCCCCAACCCAUCCUAAACCCACCGCAACCUGCAAUCCAAAUGGGAUGGGUUAUUUAACCCACUUUUAAACAGGUUGCUAAACAUGAACUCAACUUGUCCCAUUUACAUGACAGGGUGGGCCAACCUGAUGGGUCCAAUUCAAAUUGAUAGCUCUAUGCAGAGGACAUAC